GAUGAACGCUGGCGGCGUGCCUAACACAUGCAAGUCGAGCGCGGUCCCUUUGGUGCUUGCACCAAAGACGACUGAGCGGCGGACGGGUGAGUAACGCGUGGGUAACCUGCCCUGUACAUAUGGAUAACAUGCUGAAAAGCAUACUAAUACAUAAUAACGUACAUUGAAGGCAUCUUCAGUGUAUCAAAGCGUUAGCGGUACAGGAUGGCCUCGCGUCCGAUUAGCUGGUUGGUGAGGUAACGGCCCACCAAGGCAACGAUCGGUAGCCGGACUGAGAGGUUGAACGGCCACAUUGGGACUGAGACACGGCCCAG
RNAcentral lists this ribosomal RNA (314 nucleotides) under uncultured bacterium. RNAcentral's name for it is "bacterial SSU rRNA". It matches the Rfam family "Bacterial small subunit ribosomal RNA", at positions 28 to 334 of the family's 1533-position model. The record is from RNAcentral.